RNAcentral lists this ribosomal RNA (357 nucleotides) under Triticum aestivum (bread wheat). RNAcentral's name for it is "partial small subunit ribosomal RNA". The record is from RNAcentral. Lineage: Eukaryota; Viridiplantae; Streptophyta; Magnoliopsida; Poales; Poaceae.
AUGGCCAUAUGCAAUAUUGGUGAUGGGAAAUCUGCUCUGUUUUGGAAUGAUCAAUGGCACUCUACAUGUCUAUUUCAAGGCAUGCGUCACUUAUUCUCUUUUACAAAGAAUACUCUAUUAUCAGUUCAGGAAGCUAUCAACUUUGAAUAUUUGGAAGACCUGUUUCACCUACCCCUGUCUACAAAAGCUUAUGAGGAAUUCCAGCAACUUGAGAUCAUUUGUGAGGAGGUUAGAUCAUCUGAAUAUAGGGAUUGUAAUUAGGGAUGGCACCCGCAGGGUUUGGGUACGGGUGGAGCCACCCCAUACCGUUACCCGACACAUUUGAGCUUACCCAUCACCCGCACCCAUACCCGCUAG